This 383-nucleotide long non-coding RNA is filed under the name Gallus gallus (chicken). The record is from RNAcentral. Lineage: Eukaryota; Metazoa; Chordata; Aves; Galliformes; Phasianidae.
GGGAUCUCCCAGUAGGGUAGAUCAUCAUGACUUACCUGCAGUCUGUUGAGACAGCACCAAAUAGAAAUCUUCUUAUGUGCCAUUAGGGACAAAUGUGAGUGCCAGGACUGCUUGACCCCAAGGUUCCUGGCUCUGAAAUUUUCUCCCAUUGGAAAUAUACUCUGACUACUGUAGGACAAGCUUCCUGGCAGCAGGUAUCUCUGAUCAACACCGUAUCAGAAGAAAAUUAUUUGGAAGGGACAUGAAGCAACUUGCUUUGCUAUUUCAGGAGAUCAGCUUUAAAAUGUGAGUUACAUCAGGUAAGCUGUGAAUAAAUGAAUGAAUGUCCCAGAUCAAUGGCAUGAGUAAUUUGUUGUAAUUACCUGGCACUUUCUCUUUGAGUC